GACGAACGCUGGCGGCGCGCUUAACACAUGCAAGUCGAACGGAAAGGCCUUGUUUUUGUUGGGUGCUCGAGGUGCGAAAGGGUGAGUAACACGUGAGUAACCUGCCCUUGACUUCGGGAUAACUUCAGUAAACUGGGGCUAAUACCUGAUAGGAGCUCCUGCUGCACGGUGGGGGUUGGAAAGUUUCGGCGGUUGGGGAUGGACUCGCGGCUUAUCAGCUUGUCGGUGGGGUAGUGGCUUACCAAGGCUUUGACGGAUAGCCGGCCGGAGAGGGUGACCGGCGACACUGCGAAUGAGAUACGGCGCAGCAGCCGACGGGAGGCAGGAGUGGGGAACAUUACACAGUGGGCGGGAGGCUGAUGCAGCAACGCCGCGUGCCGGAUGACGGCCUUCGGGUUGUAGCGCGCUUGCGCCUUUGAUGAAGCGGGAGUGACGGUAAUGGGUAAAGAAGCACCGGCUAACUACGUA
Molecule: ribosomal RNA, 468 nt
Filed under: uncultured bacterium
Lineage: Bacteria
Description: partial 16S ribosomal RNA
Rfam family: Bacterial small subunit ribosomal RNA
Source: RNAcentral